CCCUUAGAUGUUCUGGGCCGCACGCGCGCUACACUGACACACUCAACAAGCUUAUAACCUUGUCCGAGAGGUCUGGGAAAUCUUUGAAUAUGUGUCGUGAUGGGGAUAGAUCGUUGCAAUUCUCGAUCUUCAACGAGGAAUUCCUAGUAAACGCAAGUCAUCAGCUUGCGUUGAUUACGUCCCUGCCCUUUGUACACACCGCCCGUCGCUCCUACCGAUUGAAUGGUCCGGUGAAGCGUUCGGACCGUGGCCUUUGGACGGUUCGCCGUCUGUUGGCUGCGGGAAGUUCGUUAAACCUUAUCAUUUAGAGGAAGGAGAAGUCGUAACA
RNAcentral lists this ribosomal RNA (328 nucleotides) under uncultured eukaryote. RNAcentral describes it as "partial 18S ribosomal RNA". It matches the Rfam family "Eukaryotic small subunit ribosomal RNA", at positions 1470 to 1796 of the family's 1831-position model. The record is from RNAcentral.